GGUUUCUUUCCCAUAACAGUUGUUUGCUAUCAAAUUUUGGAUUAUUUUGAGUCUAGUGAGUUGAGAGUUUACCUGAAACAUUUUAAAGAACUGUUAUCCAUCAAAGUUACGCAAAUUAUCCAUGAUAGUGAUUUUCCCAUUUCAGGGAUGAGUUGCUUCUUCACAUGGUGGGAAGUCACAUCUAAUUGUGUAUUGCAAGUCGUGAAAAGAUGUGAAAACCUGUACUUGUCUUGCAUGUUUGUGUGUUUGAUCUAUCUUGUCUGGUUACCAUGAGAAACUCAUAAUGAUCAUGAAUAUUUUCUAUAUGCCGUGCAAAGGAGAUGACCUGCUUCAGUUCCUUCUGGAUUAUAUGUUGCUCCUGAUCUUGUUCUGUAGGUAAAUGUUUCACCCUACAUGA
Molecule: unclassified non-coding RNA, 397 nt
Filed under: Hevea brasiliensis (rubber tree)
Lineage: Eukaryota; Viridiplantae; Streptophyta; Magnoliopsida; Malpighiales; Euphorbiaceae
Source: RNAcentral